This 435-nucleotide ribosomal RNA is filed under the name uncultured bacterium. RNAcentral describes it as "partial 16S ribosomal RNA". It matches the Rfam family "Bacterial small subunit ribosomal RNA", at positions 28 to 507 of the family's 1533-position model. The record is from RNAcentral.
GAUGAACGCUGGCGGUAUGCUUAACACAUGCAAGUCGAACGGACUCUUCGGAGUUAGUGGCGGACGGGUGAGUAACGCGUGAGAAUCUGGCUUUGGGUUCGGGACAACCACUGGAAACGGUUGCUAAUACCGGAUGUGCCGAGAGGUAAAAGAGAAAUUGCCUGAAGAUGAGCUCGGGUCUGAUUAGCUAGUUGGUGAGGUAAAGGCUCACCAAGGCAGCGAUCAGUAGCUGGUCUGAGAGGAUGACCAGCCACACUGGGACUGCGACACCGCCCUGACAACUACGGGGGGCAGGAGUAGAGAAUUAUCCGCAAUGGGCGAAAGCCUGACGGAGCAAUACCGCGUGAGAGAAGAAGGCUCUUGGGUUGUAAACCUCUUUUCGUAGGGAAGAACAAAAUGACGGUACCUAAGGAAUCAGCAUCGGCUAACUCCGUG